GCCUGGUUGGCUCCAUCAGUACAGCAUGUGACUUUUGAUCUCAGGAUCGUGAGUUCAAGUCCCACAUUGGACA
Molecule: transfer RNA, 73 nt
Filed under: Ailuropoda melanoleuca (giant panda)
Lineage: Eukaryota; Metazoa; Chordata; Mammalia; Carnivora; Ursidae
Rfam family: tRNA
About the family: Transfer RNA (tRNA) molecules are approximately 80 nucleotides in length.
Source: Rfam by way of RNAcentral